GCAUUGGUGGUUCAGUGGUAGAAUUCUCGCCUCCCGCGCGGGAGACCUGGGUCCGAUUCCCGGCCAAUGCA
This is a non-coding RNA of Danio rerio (zebrafish), 71 nucleotides long. Lineage: Eukaryota; Metazoa; Chordata; Actinopteri; Cypriniformes; Danionidae. The record is from Rfam.